Molecule: long non-coding RNA, 556 nt
Organism: Gossypium arboreum
Lineage: Eukaryota; Viridiplantae; Streptophyta; Magnoliopsida; Malvales; Malvaceae
Exons: 2
Source: RefSeq, a predicted model, not a curated record
CAUUUUAAUAUUUUGCUUAUUAAAUUAAUCAGAUAUUUUGGUAGACGAUGUAGAAUAUCACCAUUUUUUUCUCCAUCUUCAUGUCAUCUUCAUGCAUGUGUGAAGAGAACUUUUGUUUUUUUUUUCCAAAUAAGUCCCCUCUACCAUUUCCAACCACCUUGAGCUUAAAAACUUCAAAUUCUUCCAUGGAUUUUUACUGAAAUCAAUAGAGCAAUCUCAUAGAAAGUUUAGUUUCUUGUAAAGUUAACUAGUGCUCGUACUGGAAGAUAGAAAAGUGAAGUUAGGGUUUUGGGUAAAAGUUCAAGAGAAAGAGAAGAGAGGUGAUCAACAAGGUCUUGAUAAGAGGAAAGAAGUAGCAAAAGAGUGAAGGAAGAAGAAAGAGGCUCAUCCAAACACUUGAUUGUAAGUACUUCGAGAAUUUUACUUUACCUAAUGUAACCCCAUUGUAAGUAAUAUUAAAACGGUUAUAUGUUUAAUUUAUAUGUCAAUAUGUCAAUAUUAUAUAUGAAAAUUGAUUAAUGAGUAGUGAAAAUAUGAAUUGAAUUUUAAUUACAAA